CUUUAAAAAUCUGGAUCAAGCUGAAAAUUGAAACGACACACUGUUCCCUUUCUCCGUAAUAAGAAAGGAAAAGCGGUGUGUCCGAGUCUCUCAAAUUUUCGCAACACGAACCGUUUUACGAAACAGUUUCGG
Molecule: small RNA, 132 nt
Filed under: Klebsiella electrica
Lineage: Bacteria; Pseudomonadati; Pseudomonadota; Gammaproteobacteria; Enterobacterales; Enterobacteriaceae
Description: Raoultella electrica StyR-44
Rfam family: Salmonella enterica Typhi npcRNA 44
Source: RNAcentral